AUGAACGCUGGCGGCGUGCCUAAUACAUGCAAGUCGAACGCAUAGCGAAAGGUGCUUGCACCUUUCAAGUGAGUGGCGAACGGGUGAGUAACACGUGGACAACCUGCCUCAAGGCUGGGGAUAACAUUUGGAAACAGAUGCUAAUACCGAAUAAAACUUAGUGUCGCAUGACACAAAGUUAAAAGGCGCUUCGGCGUCACCUAGAGAUGGAUCCGCGGUGCAUUAGUUAGUUGGUGGGGUAAAGGCCUACCAAGACAAUGAUGCAUAGCCGAGUUGAGAGGCUGAUCGGCCACAUUGGGACUGAGACACGGCCCAAACUCCUACGGGAGGCUGCAGUAGGGAAUCUUCCACAAUGGGCGAAAGCCUGAUGGAGCAACGCCGCGUGUGCGAUGAAGGCUUUCGAGUCGUAAAGCACUGUUGUAUGGGAAGAACAGCUAGAAUAGGAAAUGAUUUUAGUUUGACGGUACCAUACCAGAAAGGGACGGCUAAAUACGUG
This 496-nucleotide ribosomal RNA is filed under the name uncultured bacterium. RNAcentral describes it as "partial 16S ribosomal RNA". It matches the Rfam family "Bacterial small subunit ribosomal RNA", at positions 29 to 507 of the family's 1533-position model. The record is from RNAcentral.